GCAUUGAACGUUGUUGUUGCAGCAGUUGUUGUACGGAAGCGCAUGCGGUUGCUGCGACUGCGGCGGCUGUUGGGGCGGCUGCUGCUGCUGUUGCGGCGGCUGUUGUAGCGGUUGCUGCUGCUGCUGCUGCUGUUGCGGCUGUUGCAGUGGCUGCUGUUGUUG
Molecule: non-coding RNA, 162 nt
Organism: Cinara cedri
Lineage: Eukaryota; Metazoa; Arthropoda; Insecta; Hemiptera; Aphididae
Source: the annotation of a GenBank genome assembly